GUGCUCGCUUUGAUAGCACAUAUGCUAAAAUUGGAACGAUACAGACAAGAUUAGCAUGGCCCCUGUGCAAGGAUGACAUGCAAAUUCAUGAAGCAUUCCAUAUUUUA
Otolemur garnettii (small-eared galago) is the source of this 107-nucleotide small nuclear RNA. NCBI's taxonomy places the organism in Eukaryota, Metazoa, Chordata, Mammalia, Primates, Galagidae. The record is from Ensembl.